AUUGAACGCUGGCGGCAGGCCUAACACAUGCAAGUCGAGCGGAUGAAGGGAGCUUGCUCCUGGAUUCAGCGGCGGACGGGUGAGUAAUGCCUAGGAAUCUGCCUGGUAGUGGGGGAUAACGUCCGGAAACGGGCGCUAAUACCGCAUACGUCCUCAGGGAGAAAGUGGGGGAUCUUCGGACCUCACGCUAUCAGAUGAGCCUAGGUCGGAUUAGCUAGUUGGUGGGGUAAAGGCCUACCAAGGCGACGAUCCGUAACUGGUCUGAGAGGAUGAUCAGUCACACUAGAACUGAGACACGGUCCAGACUCCUACGGGAGGCAGCAGUGGGGAAUAUUGGACAAUGGGCGAAAGCAUGAUCCAGCCAUGCCGCGUGUGUGAAGAAGGUCUUCGGAUUGUAAAGCACUUUAAGUUGGGAGGAAGGGCAGUAAGUUAAUACCUUGCUGUUUUGACGUUACCAACAGAAUAAGCACCGGCUAACUUCGUG
RNAcentral lists this ribosomal RNA (484 nucleotides) under uncultured bacterium. RNAcentral describes it as "partial 16S ribosomal RNA". It matches the Rfam family "Bacterial small subunit ribosomal RNA", at positions 30 to 507 of the family's 1533-position model. The record is from RNAcentral.